RNAcentral lists this long non-coding RNA (2513 nucleotides) under Malus domestica (apple). RNAcentral describes it as "long non-coding RNA (MDOM_LNC009607)". Lineage: Eukaryota; Viridiplantae; Streptophyta; Magnoliopsida; Rosales; Rosaceae. The record is from RNAcentral.
UAGAACGGGGCUAAUGUUUAAUAUAUGUGAUUGAAUGUGCUAAACCAUUAGCGUGUUCGACAAUUUUGUUUUGGAGUCUUUUGGAGCUUUGACCAAUUUAAGAUAAUGAUUACCUUGAGCAUUUAGAAACAUGUUAUUAUCAGAUGAUGCGUGUAUAUAUAUAUAUAUAUAAUUGGCCUCGAGUUUUCAAUAAAUAUUUGACCCCAAAAUUAGAAAUCAAUUUAAAUGGCUUGGAUCGAUGAACAUAUGUUUCUAAAUAAAAAUCCAAAUAUUUAUCAAAUUAGCUUAUUAGCAUAUUGAUGCAUAGUUACAUAUAUAUAUAUAUGACACACCCCGUCCCGAAGGAGGGCAUGCUGGCCGUCACGUGAGAGUGACGUAACCAUUUGCACAGUACGGAAGCUUUAAGAUACAAUUUAUAAGUUGAUACACCCGAAGGUGAGUCCUAAUUUUGUCCAAUCUGUCAGAACACCGUCGAAUUCCUCGUAGUCACCACACCUUUGUGAUUCCUGAACCUGGAGGGGCGCAAAACCAAAAUUGAGUGGGUCAGUAAAACAAUUCUUUUCCAAAUCCAAACAUUUCUCAAAACGUUGUAACCCCUCUCCGUAAAACCUGUAUACUUUCCCAGAAAUAUAAAAUAUAAAUAUACAUAUAUAUAUUCUCAAUACUUCAAUUCAUUAACUCAACAUUUUCUCAUAUUAAUUAUGCCAUGCCACAUCAUCUCAACAUUUCUCAUAUUAAUUAUGCCAUGCCACAUCAUCUCAACAGUAAUAAGGUAUGAAUGCAUCAACAUAAAUCAUAUCAGGUGCAAUAAAGUAAUCAACCGGAGGCCCUCUAAUAGCCCUGUACGGUUGAACCUAGAGCUCAAAAUCUAUCAAUCUCACACUCUGCCGGAGUCACUCCACGUGACCUGUACGGCCUUCUGCACAUAAGUUACGCUCUAGUGCUUCUCAUAAAUCAUCUGUGCACAUAAUCUAAGGUCACCCACCAGUCGGAAUCUCACUAACACUCUCGCGACUGGCCUGUCGUACCCACUCCACGUGGACUGUACGACUAGCAUCUACUUGGAUCCAAGACGAGCGUGCGAUGCGGUGAAUACUAUAAGCACUAAACUAUGGUGCAGGAUUUGAGCCCAAUAUACAUCAACAUCAUCAUAACAGAAAUAAAUACUCACAUGUGCGUCCACCGCACCAUUUCAUACAUAUGCAUCAUAAAUCAAUUCUUACCUGUGCGUCCACCGCACCAAUUCAUACAUAUGCAUCAUAAAUCAAUUCUUACCUGUGCGUCCACCGCACCAAUUCAUACAUAUGCAUCAUAAAUCAAUUCUUACCUGUGCGUCCACCGCACCAAUUCAUACAUAUGCAUCAUAUAUUAAUUCAUGCAUGGCAUUUCAACUCACAUUUCUAUAUACUUUUCAUAUCAAUUCUAUGCAUGGUAUUUCACUUCCCGUUUUUCCACAUAACUCAUAUGCAUUUCAUUUUAAACAUAUUUUCAUUUCAAUUCAAUUUCUGGGAAACGUCAAGUAUAUAUAUAUACGGAAAACAAAACUGCCCACUCACCUGGAGUUCGUCCAACAACUCCCUAGCACCACACAUCAAGGCGUCACGACGAUCGCCGCCUAGAAUAGUAAUCAAAUCCAACCUCAGAAUUCAUAUCGAUAGAAUAUAUAACUUUAUAUAAAAUACGUCACUACGUAGUUCGAUCCGGAAGAUCUGCCACUCAGAUUUUAAAUCCAUAACUUCCAGAGGUCCACAAUAUAUCUCUAGGACAACAUCCUAAAAUUUCAUCACCAUCCAACGGUCGGAUCGUCAAUUCACAUUUUUACCUAAAUGUGAAAACUAUAAAACGUUAUUCGAACACCUAACCAACAAUCCUUAAUAACUUUCUCUCAUACGGUGCUCAAUUUGGGUAUAUGAAUAUACCACGGUGAUCUACUCGACGUCACGGACGUCGUCGACAUAUUUUUUAAAAUAAUUUUUUUUACUGUAGCACGCGCCCCCACGCGCCAAGGAAGGCACGGACCUACGCGCCCCCACGCGCACCUUCUUCUUCCUUGGGUCGCCGGACUGGUUUUUUUCCGGCGGCCGUUUUUUCAAAUUGCCAUAACUUUGUCAUUUCUCAACGAAAUCAAGUGAUUCAAAAACGAAAGUUGUAGCCCUUGAAGAGACAAAGAGAAUGAUACCUUGCACAACACCUAGUUCUCCGUGGUUUGGCCGGAAACUGCCUCGAAAGCCUCGGAGGUCGCCGGAAACUGGGUAUUUUUCAAAUGAGUAUAACUUCUUCAAUACUCAACGAAAUUGAGUGAAACAAAAAGGAAAGUUGUAGUACUUGACGAGACGAAGAGAUUAAUACCUACCUCGACUCCUAACUCGCCGGGGAUUCGCCGGAAAGAGCCUCGAAAGCUCCGGCCAAACUUUGAACUUGUCGAUCUCCGUGUUCUUACGUCCAAAAACUUCCAACGAAGCACUCCGAGCUUCCUUGGGACCUCACUAAGCUCACUAUGAGCUUGGAUUGUC